UUUUUUGCUUUAAUUAUAUUGUGCAGUUAUUUGUUACCCUGAAAUGCUUUAUGCUUAACAACAGCUCACUAUUUUGACUUAUUUUUGAACUCUUGUGAUCAGUAUGACUAGAUUGUGUGAGUUUCCAUACUAAACGAGCUGUAGUGAUAAAAUAAUUGGCAUCAGAGACACUGAUUUUUGGCAUGGUAUACUGCAGAAGUUUUUUUUUUUUUUUUUGCAUAAUUUACCUUUUAAUUAAACUGCAUUCUCUGUAUUGUAACAAAACUAACAUUGUUUAUAUGUCAGAAAAUUAGCAAACAUGAAUAAAUGGCGAAAACAAUAUAAUUAUAACAUAUAUUUUUAUUUUACUUAUUUUAGGUCUGUGAAGCCAAACUUGAUGCUGGGGAUUUAUUUUUGUCAGUGGAGUCAAAUGGUUGAAGCAGAAUUUGCCCGUCUUACAUCUGUUGACCUGAAAGGGUUCCUUUUUGCUGUGCUUGACCAUUAUGGAGAGGUUCGUGGAGCUGUACAAAAUCAAGAGUGGCAUAGAAGGGCUAACUAGGCUCAUAAGAUGCUUCGGAGAUGAUAGCCCUACACAAAGGAAGAGGACAGAGGACCUCAUUUUCUAAAGGAAGAUCCCUCACACACUUUCAAGACUGUGAAGCCGACAGGUAUUGAAGACACGUUUUCUAAGAGGAUGAAAGUUGGCAUUGCGAUGGUGAAAGAAGAAGACAUCGAUGUGUUGGUUGUCCUUGAGGCGGCAGUAAUCCUGUCUAAUCUGAGGGAUGUCUCAAGUGCCAUUUCCAUGCUGAUGGGCCUUCUUUUUGCCCUCAACAUACACUAUCCAAAGGAACUUAAGGACAUCUUUGAAGUCAUUCAGAACAUCCUAAUGAACAUUGGUGGAAGGCAGUGCAUCUCACUAGUGCAUGGUCUAAGAAACAGACUCUUGCAGAAAGCCAUGCAGAACUGUAAUUGUAUGAUCCUUAGUGUUAAGGACAGUUUUUAUUUUACUGUUUGUUUUUU
Long non-coding RNA from Oreochromis aureus, 999 nucleotides. The record is from Ensembl. NCBI's taxonomy places the organism in Eukaryota, Metazoa, Chordata, Actinopteri, Cichliformes, Cichlidae.